GGAUUGCCCUAGUAACGGCGAGUGAAGCGGCAACAGCUCAAAUUUGAAAUCUGGCCCCCUCGGGGUUCGAGUUGUAAUUUGUAGAGGAUGCUUCGGCGUCGGCCCCGGGCUAAGUCCCCUGGAACGAGGCGCCCUAGAGGGUGAGAGCCCCGUACUCACUCGGGUGCCCUUCGCCAUGUGAAGCUCCUUCGACGAGUCGAGUUGUUUGGGAAUGCAGCUCUAAGCGGGAGGUAUAUUUCUUCUAAAGCUAAAUACCGGCCAGAGACCGAUAGCGCACAAGUAGAGUGAUCGAAAGAUGAAAAGCACUUUGGAAAGAGAGUUAAAAAGCACGUGAAAUUGUUGAAAGGGAAGCUCUUGCCGCCAGACUUGCCGCGGUUGCUCAGCCGCCCCCCGGGGCGGUGUACUCUUCCGUCGGCAGGCCAGCGUCGGUUCGGGCGACCGGAUAAAGGCCCUGGGAAUGUAGCACCCUCCGGGGUGUGUUAUAGCCCGGGGUGCAAUGCGGUCAGCCCGGUCCGAGGCACGCGUUCGCGAGGACGCUGGCGUAAUGGCUGCAAGCGACCCGUCUUGAAACACGGACCAAGGAGUCUAACAUCUGUGCGAGUGUUUGGGUCUCAAACUCAUGCGCGUAAUGAAAGUGAACGGAGGUGGGAACCCCCUCGAGGGGCGCACCAUCGACCGAUCCUGAUGUCUUCGGAUGGAUUUGAGUAAGAGCAUAGCUGUUGGGACCCGAAAGAUGGUGAACUAUUCCCGGAUAGGGUGAAGCCAGAGGAAACUCUGGUGGAGGCUCGUAGCGGUUCUGACGUGCAAAUCGAUCGUCAAAUCUAGGAAUAGGGGCGAAAGACUAAUCGAACCAU
Molecule: ribosomal RNA, 854 nt
Filed under: Dirina fallax
Lineage: Eukaryota; Fungi; Ascomycota; Arthoniomycetes; Arthoniales; Roccellaceae
Description: LSU rRNA
Rfam family: Eukaryotic large subunit ribosomal RNA
Source: RNAcentral